GGGGGUGGAUGGGUCCCGGCGGGUCCCACGGUCUUCAAAACCGAUGGCGGGCGCUAUGUGUCCGCGGUGGGUUCGAUUCCCACACGCCCCCGCCA
This 95-nucleotide transfer RNA is filed under the name Bacillota bacterium. Its description in RNAcentral is "tRNA-Sec". It matches the Rfam family "Selenocysteine transfer RNA". Lineage: Bacteria; Bacillati; Bacillota. The record is from RNAcentral.